GACGAACGCUGGCGGCGUGCUUAACACAUGCAAGUCGAACGAGGUCCACCGCGUAGCAAUACAAGGGAAGACCUAGUGGCGAACGGGUGCGUAACACGUGAGGAACUUGUCCCGGUCUCUGGGAUAACAGUUGGAAACGACUGCUAAUACCGGAUGACGUCGGAAUCUCGCAUGGGAUACUGACGAAAGGGUUACUGGAUCGGGAGAGCCUCGCGGCCUAUCAGCUUGUUGGUGAGGUAACGGCUCACCAAGGCAUCGACGGGUAGCUGGUCUGAGAGGAUGAUCAGCCACACUGGGACUGAGACACGGCCCAGACACCUACGGGUGGCAG
This 331-nucleotide ribosomal RNA is filed under the name uncultured Actinomycetes bacterium. RNAcentral describes it as "bacterial SSU rRNA". It matches the Rfam family "Bacterial small subunit ribosomal RNA", at positions 28 to 351 of the family's 1533-position model. Lineage: Bacteria; Bacillati; Actinomycetota; Actinomycetes. The record is from RNAcentral.